GAUGAACGCUGGCGGCGUGCUUAAUACAUGCAAGUCGAGCGAACGGACGAGAAGCUUGCUUCUCUGACGUUAGCGGCGGACGGGUGAGUAACACGUGGAUAACCUACCUAUAAGACUGGGAUAACUUCGGGAAACCGGCGCUAACACCGGAUAAUAUCUUGAACCGUAUGGUUCAAUAGUGAAAGACGGUCUUGCUGUCACUUAUAGAUGGAUCUGCGCUGCAUUAGCUAGUUGGUAAGGUAACGGCUUAUCAAGGCAACGAUGCGUAGCCGACCUGAGAGGGUGAUCGGCCACACUAGAACGGAGACACGGUCCAGACGCCUGCGGGAGGCAGCAGUAGGGAAUCUGCCGCAGUGGGCGAAAGCCUGGCGGAACAGCGCCGCGUGAGUGGUAGAGAUCUUCGGAUCGUGAAACUCUGUUAUUAGGGAAAAACAUAUGUGUAAGUAGCUGUGCACAGCUUGACGGUACCGAGUCAGAAAGCCACGGCUAACUACGUG
Molecule: ribosomal RNA, 497 nt
Filed under: uncultured bacterium
Lineage: Bacteria
Description: partial 16S ribosomal RNA
Rfam family: Bacterial small subunit ribosomal RNA
Source: RNAcentral